GAUGAACGCUGGCGGCGUGCCUAAUACAUGCAAGUCGAGCGGACCAAAGAGAGCUUGCUCUCUGAGGUUAGCGGCGGACGGGUGAGUAACACGUGGGUAACCUGCCUGUAAGACGGGGAUAACUUCGGGAAACCGAAGCUAAUACCGGAUGAUAAAGCGAAACGCCUGUUUCUUUUUUGAAAGUCGGCCUUGUGCUGACGCUUACAGAUGGGCCCGCGGCGCAUUAGCUAGUUGGUGAGGUAACGGCUCACCAAGGCGACGAUGCGUAGCCGACCUGAGAGGGUGAUCGGCCACACUGGGACGGAGACACGGCCCAGACUCCUACGGGAGGCAGCAGUAGGGAAUCUUCGGCAAUGGACGAAAGUCUGACCGAGCAACGCCGCGUGAGCGAUGAAGGCCUUCGGGUCGUAAAGCUCUGUUGUCAGAGAAGAACAAGUACCGGAGUAACUGCCGGUACCUUGACGGUACCUGACCAGAAAGCCACGGCUAACUACGUGCCAGCCGCCGCCGUAA
RNAcentral lists this ribosomal RNA (513 nucleotides) under uncultured bacterium. RNAcentral's name for it is "partial 16S ribosomal RNA". It matches the Rfam family "Bacterial small subunit ribosomal RNA", at positions 28 to 523 of the family's 1533-position model. The record is from RNAcentral.